This 447-nucleotide ribosomal RNA is filed under the name uncultured bacterium. Its description in RNAcentral is "bacterial SSU rRNA". It matches the Rfam family "Bacterial small subunit ribosomal RNA", at positions 330 to 794 of the family's 1533-position model. The record is from RNAcentral.
GCCAGACUCCUACGGGAGGCAGCAGUGGGGGAUAUUGCACAAUGGGGGAAACCCUGAUGCAGCGACGCCGCGUGGGUGAAGAAGCGCCUCGGCGCGUAAAGCCCUGUCAGCAGGGAAGAAAAUGACGGUACCUGAAGAAGAAGCCCCGGCUAACUACGUGCCAGCAGCCGCGGCAAUACGUAGGGGGCAAGCGUUAUCCGGAUUUACUGGGUGUAAAGGGAGCGUAGACGGCGAUGCAAGUCUGAAGUGAAAGCCCGGGGCCCAACCCCGGGACUGCAUUGGAAACUGCCGGGCUGGAGUGCCGGAGGGGCGGGCGGAAUUCCUGGUGUAGCGGUGAAAUGCGCAGAUAUCAGGAAGAACACCGGUGGCGCAGGCGGCCUGCUGGACGGCAACUGACGCUGAGGCUCGAAAGCGUGGGGAGCAAACAGGAUUAGAUACCCGCGUAAU